GCUCGUAGUUGAAGUUUCGGGGUUAGUAGGUUGGUCAUGCCUCUGGUAUGUACUGGUCUCACUGAUUCCUCCUUCCUGAUGAGCCGUAAUGCCUAUUAAUUUGGUGUUGCGGGAAUUUGGACUGUUACUUUGAAAAAAUUAGAGUGUUUAAAGCAAGCUAACGCUUGAAUACAUUAGCAUGGAAUAAUGAAAUAGGACGUUCGAUCCUAUUUUGUUGGUUUCUAGGAUUGACGUAAUGAUUAAUAGGGAUAGUUGGGGGCAUUAGUAUUCAAUUGUCAGAGGUGAAAUUCUUGGAUUUAUUGAAGACUAACUACUGCGAAAGCAUUUGCCAAGGAUGUUUUCAUUAAUCAAGAACGAAAGUUAGGGGAUCGAAGACGAUCAGAUACCGUCGUAGUCUUAACCAUAAACUAUGCCGACUAGGGAUCGGAUGAUGUUAAUUUUUAAUGACUCAUUCGGCGCCUUACG
This 465-nucleotide ribosomal RNA is filed under the name uncultured Glomus. Its description in RNAcentral is "SSU rRNA". It matches the Rfam family "Eukaryotic small subunit ribosomal RNA", at positions 626 to 1092 of the family's 1831-position model. The record is from RNAcentral. Lineage: Eukaryota; Fungi; Glomeromycota; Glomeromycetes; Glomerales; Glomeraceae.